RNAcentral lists this ribosomal RNA (761 nucleotides) under Prevotella melaninogenica. RNAcentral describes it as "bacterial SSU rRNA". It matches the Rfam family "Bacterial small subunit ribosomal RNA", at positions 28 to 776 of the family's 1533-position model. The record is from RNAcentral. Lineage: Bacteria; Pseudomonadati; Bacteroidota; Bacteroidia; Bacteroidales; Prevotellaceae.
GAUGAACGCUAGCUACAGGCUUAACACAUGCAAGUCGAGGGGAAACGGCAUUAAGUGCUUGCACUUUUUGGACGUCGACCGGCGCACGGGUGAGUAACGCGUAUCCAACCUUCCCAUGACUAAGGGAUAACCUGCCGAAAGGCAGACUAAUACCUUAUGGUCUUCACUGACGGCAUCAGAUGUGAAGUAAAGAUUUAUCGGUUAUGGAUGGGGAUGCGUCUGAUUAGUUAGUUGGCGGGGUAACGGCCCACCAAGGCAACGAUCAGUAGGGGUUCUGAGAGGAAGGUCCCCCACAUUGGAACUGAGACACAGUCCAAACUCCUACGGGAGGCAGCAGUGAGGAAUAUUGGUCAAUGGGCGAGAGCCUGAACCAGCCAAGUAGCGUGCAGGACGACGGCCCUAUGGGUUGUAAACUGCUUUUGUAUGGGGAUAAAGUCAAUCACGUGUGAUUGUUUGCAGGUACCAUACGAAUAAGGACCGGCUAAUUCCGUGCCAGCAGCCGCGGUAAUACGGAAGGUCCGGGCGUUAUCCGGAUUUAUUGGGUUUAAAGGGAGCGUAGGCUGGAGAUUAAGUGUGUUGUGAAAUGUAGACGCUCAACGUCUGACUUGCAGCGCAUACUGGUUUCCUUGAGUACGCACAACGUUGGCGGAAUUCGUCGUGUAGCGGUGAAAUGCUUAGAUAUGACGAAGAACUCCGAUUGCGAAGGCAGCUGACGGGAGCGCAACUGACGCUGAAGCUCGAAGGUGCGGGUAUCGAACAGG